RNAcentral lists this ribosomal RNA (234 nucleotides) under uncultured Staphylococcus sp. RNAcentral describes it as "partial 16S ribosomal RNA". It matches the Rfam family "Bacterial small subunit ribosomal RNA", at positions 106 to 334 of the family's 1533-position model. Lineage: Bacteria; Bacillati; Bacillota; Bacilli; Caryophanales; Staphylococcaceae. The record is from RNAcentral.
GUGAGUAACACGUGGAUAACCUACAUAUAAGACUGGGAUAACUUCGGGAAACCGGAGCUAAUACCGGAUAAUAUAUUGAACCGCAUGGUUCAAUAGUGAAAGACGGUUUUGCUGUCACUUAUAGAUGGAUCCGCGCCGCAUUAGCUAGUUGGUAAGGUAACGGCUUACCAAGGCAACGAUGCGUAGCCGACCUGAGAGGGUGAUCGGCCACACUGGAACUGAGACACGGUCCAG